Molecule: transfer RNA, 72 nt
Filed under: Ovis aries (sheep)
Lineage: Eukaryota; Metazoa; Chordata; Mammalia; Artiodactyla; Bovidae
Rfam family: tRNA
About the family: Transfer RNA (tRNA) molecules are approximately 80 nucleotides in length.
Source: Rfam by way of RNAcentral
UCCCUGGUCGCUUAGAUGGUAAAGCAUCUGUCUACAAUGCAGGAGACCUGGGUCCAAUCCCUAGGUUGGGAA